UAGUCCACGCCGUAAACGAUGACAACUAGGUGUCGGAGGUAUUGACCCCUUCGGUGCCAAAGCUAACGCACUAAGUUGUCCGCCUGGGGAGUACGAUCGCAAGAUUAAAACUCAAAGGAAUUGACGGGGACCCGCACAAGCGGUGGAGUAUGUGGUUUAAUUCGACGCAACACGAAGAACCUUACCUGGGUUAGACAUCUAUAGGACGGUUUCUAGAGAUAGAUUCCUUUCCUUUUGGAACUUAUAGACAGGUGCUGCAUGGCUGUCGUCAGCUCGUGUCGUGAGAUGUUGGGUUAAGUCCCGCAACGAGCGCAACCCUCACUGUUAGUUGCCAGCAUUUAGUUGGGCACUCUAGCAGAACUGCCGGUGCUAAGCCGGAGGAAGGUGGGGAUGACGUCAAGUCCUCAUGGCCCUUACGGGUAGGGCUACACACGUGCUACAAUGGCGAUGACAGAGGGUUAAUCCCUAAAAUCGUACUCAGUUCGGAUUGUCUUCUGCAACUCGAAGACAUGAAGUUGGAA
RNAcentral lists this ribosomal RNA (521 nucleotides) under uncultured bacterium. Its description in RNAcentral is "bacterial SSU rRNA". It matches the Rfam family "Bacterial small subunit ribosomal RNA", at positions 791 to 1331 of the family's 1533-position model. The record is from RNAcentral.